CGAACGGUGAACUCGCUUCGGCGGGGGAUCAGUGGCGAACGGGUGAGUAACACGUGGGCAACCUGCCCUCGGCUCUGGGAUAACUCCAAGAAAUUGGGGCUAAUACCGGAUAUGACCGCUGACCGCAUGGUCUGGUGGUGGAAAGAUUUAUCGGCUGAGGAUGGGCCCGCGGCCUAUCAGCUUGUUGGUGGGGUCACGGCCUACCAAGGCGACGACGGGUAGCCGGCCUGAGAGGGUGACCGGCCACACUGGGACUGAGACACGGCCCAGACUCCUACGGGAGGCAGCAGUGGGGAAUAUUGCGCAAUGGGCGAAAGCCUGACGCAGCGACGCCGCGUGGGGGAUGACGGCCUUCGGGUUGUAAACCUCUUUCAGCAGGGACGAAGCGAAAGUGACGGUACCUGCAGAAGAAGCACCGGCCAACUACGUGCCAGCAGCCGCGGUAAUACGUAGGGUGCAAGCGUUGUCCGGAAUUAUUGGGCGUAAAGAGCUCGUAGGCGGUUCGUCGCGUCGGCUGUGAAAUCCCGAGGCUCAACCUCGGGUCUGCAGUCGAUACGGGCGGACUUGGGUUCGGCAGGGGAGACUGGAAUUCCUGGUGUAGCGGUGAAAUGCGCAGAUAUCAGGAGGAACACCGGUGG
Molecule: ribosomal RNA, 638 nt
Filed under: uncultured Actinomycetes bacterium
Lineage: Bacteria; Bacillati; Actinomycetota; Actinomycetes
Description: bacterial SSU rRNA
Rfam family: Bacterial small subunit ribosomal RNA
Source: RNAcentral